This 531-nucleotide ribosomal RNA is filed under the name Oliveonia subfibrillosa. RNAcentral's name for it is "Oliveonia sp. VM-2020n partial large subunit ribosomal RNA". It matches the Rfam family "Eukaryotic large subunit ribosomal RNA", at positions 74 to 607 of the family's 3401-position model. Lineage: Eukaryota; Fungi; Basidiomycota; Agaricomycetes; Cantharellales; Oliveoniaceae. The record is from RNAcentral.
AUUCCCCUAGUAACGGCGAGUGAAGCGGGAAGAGCUCAAAUUUGAAAUCUGGCGGUCUCAGGCCGUCCGAGUUGUAAUCUAGAGAGGUGUUUUCCGUGCCGGACCGCGUAGAAGUCCCUUGGAAUAGGGCGUCAUGGAGGGUGAGAAUCCCGUUCACGACGUGGACUCCCGGUGCACUGUGAUACGCCUUCGAAGAGUCGAGUUGUUUGGGAAUGCAGCUCAAAAUGGGUGGUAAAUUCCAUCUAAAGCUAAAUACAGGCGAGAGACCGAUAGCGAACAAGUACCGUGAGGGAAAGAUGAAAAGAACUUUGGAAAGAGAGUUAAACAGUACGUGAAAUUGUUGAAAGGGAAACGCUUGAAGUCAGUCGCGUCCAUUGGGACUCAGCCUAGCUUUUGCUUGGUGCACUUCUCGGUGGAUGGGCCAACAUCAAUUUCGGGUGGCGAAANAGGGCGGUCNAAAUGUGGCACCCUCNGNUGUGUUAUANGCUUCCGUCGUACGCGUCGCCUGGGAUUGAGGACCGCAUGGGGACU